CUAAGUUCAUUUUUCCCCUAAGCCUAAUGGGUUACAUAGGUGUUAAACAUGGCAAUAAGUGAAUUUUUGUUAACUGAUGGUUAUCACAUGCGUCCAUAUGUACCGUUAAGUAGACAAUCACGAAGGGAAUUUAAUCGUCCGCAACAUUCAAAUAGUUAUAUUGUACAAGAUGUGGGGAAAUUUUCAUUUAUUAUGGUGUACAUAUAUCAACAAAAUUGGUAAUUAAGAAAAAAGGGGCAGCCUCUGCUCCCCUGAGGCAUAUGAGAUGAUGCUCCUCUUAAGCGGUGAUAUGUGGUGUGCACCAUGAAAAGCAGCAGCACGCAAUAUAUUUAAUGGCCCAAAAUCAACCGAGUAUGCCUUCUGGAAACCAUCCAAAAUGGCCAUCAUAGUCACAUUUGCUGGUUUCCUCUCCGCUUCAUAUUUUUUCAACAGUGAUACCUCCCCUAUGUCCAUGCCUACAGCAAUACCCUCAGCAAUGAUUCUUGAAAGGGCAAAUGCAUCUCCGAAACCCAAGUUAACUCCUUGCCCAGCUAAUGGAUGAACUGCAUGUGCUGCAUCACCAAUUAGAACAACACGUCUUGAUGCAUAGUCCUUCGCAUGCAUUAAGGACAGUGGAAAUGCCAUCCUAGCAGAAGCCAACUUGACCACUUUAGGCGGAACUUCAAAAGAAUCAUUCGCUGAAAUUACCAGAUUUCCUCCAAGCCAUGAAAACAUGUCUGCACUGGCCAAUAAACUUGACUUUGGAUGAGGACCAUAUCCAUAAUCUAGAGCAUGAUUUACAGCUUUCACAAAAUCAUCCUCAUUCAUUGAUUUACAAUCUGCUGCUUCCUUUGGGUUCAUAGUCCAGACAAUAUUGCUAAACUUAUCACCCAUUGGCAAAAGUGCAAUUGGACCUCCUGGUAGAAAACGUUGCCAUGCACACUGAUUUUCUACAGAAUGCUCUACGGUGCAGAUGACUGCAUUUUGUGAGUAGUUCCACCCAGUUGUUUUAAAUCCUGCUAACUGUCUAACUUGUGACUUAGCGCCAUCAGCUCCCACCUGUUUAUAAUUAUCAGUGAUGCAUUUUCUAGCAGCUCUCAUCCAUAAUUAAAUUUCUAGAUUAUCUCAUCUAAAUUAUUUUCAGAAGGGGUAAAAACUCCUGUGGCACAAAAGUUUAAUUACCACCAACUUUGCAUAUAGGCUGCUGCCAUCGCUCAGUUCCAGCUUUGCUAAACAUCCAUUAACGUAUGAUGCUUCCGUUGACAAUGAACUUUCCACUGUAGAUGAAGAGCUUGGAUGUAGAGACAUCAAAGUUAAUCGAGAAGGGUGGAUUGUCUUUUGGAAAUCAGUAUCCUGUAGGAUUAACUUCUUAGUUUCUGAAAUUGCAAGCAAUAAAAAGAACAACACCUUUAUGGUAUGCAGAAUUAUGGGCUCAGUUUGUUGAUGCAUCAGCAAGAAAAGUAGGAGUUCUGUAUCCAUCAACUGUUCACCAGAGGAUAACACACAAUACAAGGGAAUAUGCAAGAAUAUGGACAAGCCUGCAAUACAUAGAUUACUAUCUUGACAUUUAAUAAUUCUCAUUGAUUAUUAUCUGGCCCAGGAAGAGUUAAUCAUAUACAGAAGGUUUUAAGAUAGAAUUCACAAAUGAAGAUAUGACUUUCAGGUUUGCACAAUACAAAUAUAUUACACACUGGAGGAGCAAUAUGAGAGUAAAGGAAUUAUAAGGAAAGAUCCAAGGAUAAAGAGAUUCAAGAAAAGCACAACUACUUGUCACACAGAAUGAUGAAACUUCACAUAUUUGAUGUGUGAUGAGAUCUUACACAAACAUGUAAGCAGAUAAUAAUAUGUUUAAUACUUAUUUUGGUCCAAUGAUUCGGCUAUAUUUCUGGAAGUAGUCUUCCUCUAUCUCAUAAACUCCUACACCACCCUAUAGUUUAUAAUGUUUAAUAAUUUUACUUAUGAAGAAUAAUUAAAAUAAUAUUACCAACAACAAAUCUGAAAAAAAAAAAAAUUCCUUGGAAAGAAAACCCCAAAACAAAUGUAAUAUAGAGUCCAAGAAACAGACAUUUGAAGUAAGGAAAUUCCCAAAAUGAAUAUAAUUCUAUCCAAAAGAUAACAUAUUCUUCCACAAACUCUAGAAGUUUCAUCGAGUAUAAUGAAACAGUUUAAUCAAGUAGAAUACCUCAACACGUGAGAAUAGUGAACUGUGAAGCACUUUAUUCUCCACUACACAACCCAAGACAUCUUUAUUUACAUCUUUUGCAUUGUACUUCGUGUAUCCUAAGCCAGUGUAAUCCCAAACCUGCAAUUUAUCAAAAUAUGCAUGCCGAUGCUGUUGUACAUAUUGCCAAGCACCUACAUCUUUGAAAAGAGAUAUAGUUGCUGGUGUGACUGUACUAACCCUUGGAUCAGGUGGGUCCUCUUUCUUGAUGCUUACUUUACUCCCUAAAGAAGGAUUGCUGUCAAUGAUGGCAACAUUCAAAUGCUUUGUCAAUGGUGUGGUUGCCAAGGAACAAGCAAGGGCCAUGCCAACCAUGCCUCCCCCAACAAUAGCAAUGUCAUAUGGGUGAACUGUAUGAGUAAAGCUCUGCUUGUCCUCAUGUAUCUACAAAGUCAAGGAAUACAAUUACAUGCAAGAUUGUACUUCUCCCAAAAGAACUGAAAAUCCUUGAAGAAAGUAAUAGCACCAAGCGCAUAAAUACAAGCAGUAAGCAUUUGUGAAAGGAAUACAAGCUACACUAAACUCUAAACAUUACUGGAAAAAAAGGGAGGAUCACUCAUCAUUAUAAGGAGCUAUGGCAUAAACAAAAUUCACGAACAAGAGCUAGAAAACUAUAGCAUUGCUGUAAAGAAGGGGGAAAAAAAAAGUAUUAACUCCUAAACUCACCUAUUGCAACUCUAUCCAUUAUGCAAUCCUCUUUUUGUGACUAUGGCCUACAUGUAACCUUUCAUCAUAGGACUAAUCUAAUGCCCAUUUACCACCUCAUUUAGUAGUUCAAAGUUUAAAGGCAAAAAAUAAGCCCAAUGGUUAUUCCACAAACAGGAAGAAUAAAGAAUUGCCUCUAUUGGAAUAACAAAAUUACAGAGUUAUUCAUAUUUGGCAUCAUUAUCUCAGAGUCACUUGUUAACCUAAUCUCAUGAUAUGAUGAGAUAAGCUCUGCCUCUACAAGAAAACUCUAAAAAAUCAGAUAACCAUCAUAAGAGAAAUGAAAUCAAGUUUCGGCCUAGAAAAAGAAGCAAGAGCACCAAUUCCAGCCGAAAUUUAAUCACAACAGAAUUAC
This 3260-nucleotide unclassified non-coding RNA is filed under the name Hevea brasiliensis (rubber tree). Lineage: Eukaryota; Viridiplantae; Streptophyta; Magnoliopsida; Malpighiales; Euphorbiaceae. The record is from RNAcentral.